UGUGGUUUUAACUCAGAGGUGAAGCACUUGCCUAGAAAGCAUGAGGCCCUCCGUUCAAUCCCCAGCACCACAC
This 73-nucleotide transfer RNA is filed under the name Marmota monax (woodchuck). RNAcentral's name for it is "tRNA.Ser". The record is from RNAcentral. Lineage: Eukaryota; Metazoa; Chordata; Mammalia; Rodentia; Sciuridae.